GCGCCGCUGGAGCUCUAUGGAGGCAGUGGGUGCGGCCAUAUGGAGUCACGCCCCCUAAGUGGGCGGAGCCUCCAUUGACCACGCCCCGUUUCCGGCAGGUACCUCCUGGACGGCUCCACCUCUUCCGGCAGCGAUGGGGAGGAGGAGCCAACGGAAGCCCCGCCCACCACGCGCCCGGCUCACAAGGGUGGUGAAGCCACGGCUAAGCCCCGCCCCCCAACACCACCCUCGUCCAAUGGCAACACUCCGAAAGGUGACGCCGAGGACAGCGCUGGGGACACAGAGGACGAACUGCAGCGGGUGACCUCGGUGCCCCCCGAUGACCCCUAUGGCGGCUCCACAGAGGAGAACACCGACAGCGAUGACGACCCCAUCCCCCCGCUGCCCGAUUUCUUUGAGGACAAAACCUUUUUCCUCUAUGGGGAUUUCGGGGCCCCCGAACGGCGGCGGCUGCAGCGCUUCGUCAUCGCCUUUG
Lagopus leucura (white-tailed ptarmigan) is the source of this 475-nucleotide long non-coding RNA. RefSeq lists it as uncharacterized. The transcript is spliced from 4 exons. NCBI's taxonomy places the organism in Eukaryota, Metazoa, Chordata, Aves, Galliformes, Phasianidae. The record is from RefSeq and is a predicted model, not a curated record.